This is a long non-coding RNA of Pseudophryne corroboree (corroboree frog), 231 nucleotides long. RefSeq lists it as uncharacterized. The transcript has 3 exons. NCBI's taxonomy places the organism in Eukaryota, Metazoa, Chordata, Amphibia, Anura, Myobatrachidae. The record is from RefSeq and is a predicted model, not a curated record.
CCAGAAGAAAUGUCGUAUGCUCCUGCAAUCCUUUCCCUGAAUGCCAAGUUUCCAGGAAACUCACAUGAUGCCUAUGUCAUUAGACAAUCAGGGAUAUGGCAGAGAUUAAGAUCAAGUCAACGACAAGACAUGUGGUUAUUGGGAGACCGUGGAUAUCCUUGCACCCCCUGGCUCAUGACUCCUUACCGUAAGCCCAGGCCAGGACCACAGACGGCAUUUAACUCCACGCUU